GAUGAACGCUGGCGGCGUGCUUAACACAUGCAAGUCGAACGGUGAAGCCCAGCUUGCUGGGUGGAUCAGUGGCGAACGGGUGAGUAACACGUGAGCAAUCUGCCCCUGACUCUGGGAUAAGCGCUGGAAACGGCGUCUAAUACUGGAUACGAACCGUGGAGGCAUCUUCAACGGUUGGAAAGAUUUUUUGGUCAGGGAUGAGCUCGCGGCCUAUCAGCUUGUUGGUGAGGUAAUGGCUCACCAAGGCGUCGACGGGUAGCCGGCCUGAGAGGGUGACCGGCCACACUGGGACUGAGACACGGCCCAGACUCCUACGGGAGGCAGCAGUGGGGAAUAUUGCACAAUGGGCGAAAGCCUGAUGCAGCAACGCCGCGUGAGGGAUGACGGCCUUCGGGUUGUAAACCUCUUUUAGCAGGGAAGAAGCGAAAGUGACGGUACCUGCAGAAAAAGCGCCGGCUAACUACGUGCCAGCAGCCGCGGUAAUACGUAGGGCGCAAGCGUUAUCCGGAAUUAUUGGGCGUAAAGAGCUCGUAGGCGGUUUGUCGCGUCUGCUGUGAAAUCCCGAGGCUCAACUUCGGGUCUGCAGUGGGUACGGGCAGACUAGAGUGCGGUAGGGGAGAUUGGAAUUCCUGGUGUAGCGGUGGAAUGCGCAGAUAUCAGGAGGAACACCGAUGGCGAAGGCAGAUCUCUGGGCCGUAACUGACGCUGAGGAGCGAAAGGGUGGGGAGCAAACAGGCUUAGAUACCCUGGUAGUCCACCCCGUAAACGUUGGGAACUAGUUGUGGGGUCCAUUCCACGGAUUCCGUGACGCAGCUAACGCAUUAAGUUCCCCGCCUGGGGAGUACGGCCGCAAGGCUAAAACUCAAAGGAAUUGACGGGGACCCGCACAAGCGGCGGAGCAUGCGGAUUAAUUCGAUGCAACGCGAAGAACCUUACCAAGGCUUGACAUAUACGAGAACGCUGCAGAAAUGUAGAACUCUUUGGACACUCGUAAACAGGUGGUGCAUGGUUGUCGUCAGCUCGUGUCGUGAGAUGUUGGGUUAAGUCCCGCAACGAGCGCAACCCUCGUUCUAUGUUGCCAGCACGUAAUGGUGGGAACUCAUGGGAUACUGCCGGGGUYAACUCGGAGGAAGGUGGGGAUGACGUCAAAUCAUCAUGCCCCUUAUGUCUUGGGCUUCACGCAUGCUACAAUGGCCGGUACAAAGGGCUGCAAUACCGURAGGUGGAGCGAAUCCCAAAAAGCCGGUCCCAGUUCGGAUUGAGGUCUGCAACUCGACCUCAUGAAGUCGGAGUCGCUAGUAAUCGCAGAUCAGCAACGCUGCGGUGAAUACGUUCCCGGGUCUUGUACACACCGCCCGUCAAGUCAUGAAAGUCGGUAACACCUGAAGCCGGUGGCCCAACCCUUGUGGAGGGAGCCGUCGAAGGUGG
RNAcentral lists this ribosomal RNA (1428 nucleotides) under uncultured Microbacteriaceae bacterium. RNAcentral's name for it is "bacterial SSU rRNA". It matches the Rfam family "Bacterial small subunit ribosomal RNA". Lineage: Bacteria; Bacillati; Actinomycetota; Actinomycetes; Micrococcales; Microbacteriaceae. The record is from RNAcentral.